UACGGGAGGCAGCAGUAGGGAAUCUUCCGCAAUGGACGAAAGUCUGACGGAGCAACCCGCGUGAGUGAUGAAGGUUUUCGGAUCGUAAAGCUCUGUUGUUAGGGAAGAACAAGUGCCGUUCAAAUAGGGCGGCACCUUGACGGUACCUAACCAGAAAGCCACGGCUAACUACGUGCCAGCAGCCGCGGUAAUACGUAGGUGGCAAGCGUUGUCCGGAAUUAUUGGGCGUAAAGGGCUCGCAGGCGGUUUCUUAAGUCUGAUGUGAAAGCCCCCGGCUCAACCGGGGAGGGUCAUUGGAAACUGGGGAACUUGAGUGCAGAAGAGGAGAGUGGAAUUCCACGUGUAGCGGUGAAAUGCGUAGAGAUGUGGAGGAACACCAGUGGCGAGGCGACUCUCUGGUCUGUAACUGACGCUGAGGAGCGAAAGCGUGGGGAGCGAACAGGAUUAGAUACCCUGGUAGUCCACGCCGUAAACGAUGGUGCUAAGUGUUAGGGGGUUUCCGCCCCUUAGUGCUGCAGCUAACGCAUAAGCAUCCGCCUGGGGAUACGGUCGCAAGACUGAAACUCAAAGGAAUUGACGGGGGCCCGCACAAGCGGUGGAGCAUGUGGUUUAAUUCGAAGCAACGCGAAGAACCUUACCAGGUCUUGACAUCCUCUGACAAUCCUAGAGAUAGGACGUCCCCUUCGGGGGCAGAGUGACAGGUGGUGCAUGGUUGUCGUCAGCUCGUGUCGUGAGAUGUUGGGUUAAGUCCCGCAACGAGCGCAACCCUUGAUCUUAGUUGCCAGCAUUCAGUUGGGCACUCUAAGGUGACUGCCGGUGACAAACCGGA
RNAcentral lists this ribosomal RNA (829 nucleotides) under Bacillus siamensis. RNAcentral describes it as "bacterial SSU rRNA". It matches the Rfam family "Bacterial small subunit ribosomal RNA", at positions 340 to 1167 of the family's 1533-position model. The record is from RNAcentral. Lineage: Bacteria; Bacillati; Bacillota; Bacilli; Caryophanales; Bacillaceae.